Long non-coding RNA from Neofelis nebulosa (Clouded leopard), 2861 nucleotides. RefSeq lists it as uncharacterized. Lineage: Eukaryota; Metazoa; Chordata; Mammalia; Carnivora; Felidae. The record is from RefSeq and is a predicted model, not a curated record. The transcript is spliced from 3 exons.
UAGUAGCAUCUUAAGAUACUUGCUUUUUCAAAUACCUAACCAUCUAGUUGCUCAUCUAGCCAUCCAUGAGCCCAUCUUAUUUUCCGAUGUGGUAAAAAAACAAAACAAAACAAAACACUUUUCCCCAAAUGCUUCUGCAUUAGUAGUUCAGUAUUUGUUUUUCAAAGGCUUGGUAGGUAAAAUCUGCACGCCAGGAAACGCACAGAUCUGAAGCGUAGAGUGCGGUCUUUUCCAUCAUUUUGUCAGAUGUUACCAAACCAAGCCUCUGGAUCUUGUCGCAGAAUUUCUAUCAGUUCUUCAGGAAGUGCAGUUUUAAUUUUUUUUUUUUAACGUUUAUUUAUUUUUGAGACAGAGAGAGACAGAGCAUGAAUGGGGGAGGGUCAGAGAGAGGGAGACACAGAAUCGGAAACAGGCUCCAGGCUCCGAGCCGUCAGCCCAGAGCCCGAUGCGGGGCUCGAACUCACGGACCGCGAUAUCAUGACCUGGGCCGAAGUCGGCCGCUUAACCGACUGAGCCACCCAGGCGCCCCAUGGAAGUGCAGUUUUAAAAGCCGUUGGGAAUGAGAACGUAUGAGGAGCAUGUUGUAAAGAUUCUGUUCGCUGUAACAUGAAGUUUGUGCCUUUACCACCCUGGCCCUUCUCUUAGUUCUUUUCCCCUCUCCACUCCCUUUCUCCUCCCCACCCCCUCCCCGCCAGGAGGGGGUGGGUGGUAAGAAAGCAGAGUGGUUGAUUGAAGAUUUUUUUUUAAAUUUUACUUCGAUACCUUUAUAAGGCAUUCUUUUUUUUUUUUUUUUUGAGGGACGAAGGGGACAAGGGCAAAGGGAGAGAGAGAGAGAGAGAGAGAGAGAGAAAGACAGAGCACAAGCAGGGGAGGGGCAGAGAGAGAGGGAGGCACAGAAUCCGAAGCAGGCCCCAGGCUCCGAGCUGUCAGCACAGAGCCUGAUGUCGGGCUCGAAUUCCUGAACCUCGAGAUCGUGAGCUGGGCUGAAGUCAGACACACCUUCUAGAAGGAGUGUACCGUUUACUUGGGAAGAGAGGAUGGAGGUAUGUGGUAGGUCGUGAAGAAGCAGGAUAUGGUAAGUGUAGGAAGUGCUCCAAGAGUAAGCAGUGGCUGGCAGCCAGCGAUUAGGGAAGGUUCUGGAGCGGUAUCUGCUUUGAGGUGGUUCUGUGUGGAGGGAGAGGAAAAGGGGAGAGGGCUUUCAGGGUCCCUGUGGCCUGCUCACAGCAGGGACGUUUUGGCCUUCAAUCCAGCAGAACUGAUGGCCGAUUCGAGGAGGUCUUGACCGAUAAUGUUGAAAAGGCAACUUGUCACGAUUGUGACGGGCCGUUAAGUGACCGGUCCUUUGGAAAGGCCAGUACGGUCUCUAGUGUUCCCUGGAUUAUUUUCCAUUUCUCCCCUGUGGUUAGCAGAAAUCCUACUCUUUGAUUUUUUUUUUCUUUUGGUCAGGAGAACGAAUGGUAUCCAUUUCUCAAUCCAUGGUUUGAAUAAGAAACUUUUCAUCUGAAGGUUUAAAGGCGAGGGUCCCCUUUUCACGAGAAGAAUGAAGAGUUGUACUCCUUUUAUUAAUGGGGACUUGGUCACUGUUGAAACCACAAACAAACAAAAAAGGCCCAGCAGCAUUUCUUGCAUAUAGUUACUGGGCUCCUUAAACGUUGCCAAAUACCGAGGGGAAAGGAAAAUCAGAAAAGUUUUGGUGGGGGGGGGGGGGUUGGUGGUUUAAAAAAUAUAGUGACUAACUCCUUGUGCUGACUAAUGCCAGUGAACUCAUAAUGAGUAACAAUAGUGAAUUUAGAAGGGAGAUUAAAUAGAACAGCUAUUUAAAGGUUGCUUUAAUUCAAAAGACAGCCGAGUUGGUCACACAAGUCAGGAUUCCCUUUGGGAAAUUCAGAAGUAGUUCAUUUCACCCCUACAAGGAAGGUUCUGUCUCUCUCCUUUAUCGAAAGGAGUCCUCUUAGGGUGGUUAGAGAUCAGCUCUGUCAAGGGUGGCUCCUUUUCCACUCGUCUCUUGGGGUGGGGGGAUUCUUGGCAGAUGAUCUCGCUUGUGCUUUUGUGUUGGAGAAGUAACAUAGGAGGCCGCUGAUAAGCAAGAACAACCAAUCGAUGUAAAAGAACAAACAAACAAACAAACAAACAAAACUUGGUUGGUGAUGCCCGUGAACUGGAAACACAAGGCAGAUGGAGAAACUGAGUCCUGAAAGGCUGAGACAUCCUUGAGGUUAUACAGAGAACUCAAGUGGCAUAAGGUCCAUCUAGAAGGUAAAGACGAGAACCAUUUCUACUUGAUGGACACCCGCUUGCCGAGAAACGCUUUUGCUCCGCUCGGCUGAUUCCAUUGGAGUGCCCUGCCUUGGGCUGGGAAUGGCUGGCCCCUUGCCCUCUCGAGAAGCCUGUGCCAGAACCCGAGUCAUCUCCUUUGGGACGUCUGAGUGGUUUCCCAACUUUUUCUGUAGCAGCUGAAUUCUCCUUACGAUAAUAAAAGAGUUAGAAGGACUGGUCAGUAUAGGUGGGUAGAAGCCAUGUUGGCACUUAGACCUGACUUCAUCUCCCACCCCCAGCACCAGCUCCAGUCCUGUGGUUCCCAGCUCACACCAUAGAACAUUCUGGUCUGGCCAGGUAAUAGGCAUUUGGAUGACUAGGAGUCUGAAAUGUUCCCCCUUAACACCCUUCCCUAAGCCUCCCUGUAACCUCCCCCUCGGUCCCCCCGCUACUGCUCUCUGACUACUACCAAGAAGAUUGGAAACCUCUCGGUGACAACCUGAAAGAUCCUGGAUCACCUUAUCUCUUCUCUGAUCCAGGAGGAAUCAAAGAAGACUCCAACGGGAACUUACUUCUUCCGCCAGUUCCCCGUCCCCACCCCCCCC